Molecule: ribosomal RNA, 497 nt
Filed under: uncultured bacterium
Lineage: Bacteria
Description: partial 16S ribosomal RNA
Rfam family: Bacterial small subunit ribosomal RNA
Source: RNAcentral
GAUGAACGCUGGCGGCGUGCCUAAUACAUGCAAGUCGAGCGAACAGACGAGGAGCUUGCUCCUCUGACGUUAGCGGCGGACGGGAGGGUCACACGUGGAUAACAUACCUCUAAGACUGGGAUAAUUUUGGCAAAUGGGCGCUUAUAGGGGAUGAUUUAUUGCACCGAAAGGGUCAAUAGUGAAAUUAGGUUUUUCGGUCAGUAAUAGCUGACUACGGGCCGCAUUAGGUAGUUGGUAAGGUAAAGGCUUACCAAGGCAACGAGGGGAAGCCGACCUGAGAGGGUGAUCGGCCAGACGGGAACUGAGACACGGUCCAGACUCCUGCGGGAGGCAGCAGUAGGGAAUCUUCCGCAAUGGGCGAAAGGCUGACGUAGCAACGCCGCGUGAGUGAUGAAGGUCUUCGGAUCGUAAAACUCUGUUAUUAGGGAAGAACAAAUGUGUAAUUAACUAUGCACGUCUUGACGGUACCUAAUCAGAAAGCCACGGCUAACUACGUG